GAUGAACGCUGGCGGCGUGCUUAAUACAUGCAAGUCGAGCGAACAGACGCGAAGUUUGCUUCUUUGAUGUUAGCGGCGGACGGGUGUGACACACGUGGAACACCUCCCUAUCAGACUGGUAUACGCUCGGGAAACCGGCGCUAAUACCGUACAAUAUUAUGAACCGCAUGGUUCAAAAGUGAAAGUCGUCCUUGCUGUCUCUUCUAGAUGGAUCCGCGCUGCAUUAGCUAGUUGGUAAGGUAACGGCUUACCAAGGCAACGAUGCAUAGCCGACCUGAGAGGGUGAUCGGCCACACUGGAACUGAGACACGGACCAGACUCCUACGGGAGGCAGCAGUAGGGAAUCUUCCGCAGUGGGCGGAAGCCUGACGGAGCAACGCCGCGUGAGUUAUGAAGGUCUUCGGAUCGUGAAACUCUGUUAUUAGGGAAGAACAUAUGUGUAAGUAACUGUGCACAUCUUGACGGUACCUGAUCAGAAAGCCACGGCUAACUACGUG
Molecule: ribosomal RNA, 497 nt
Filed under: uncultured bacterium
Lineage: Bacteria
Description: partial 16S ribosomal RNA
Rfam family: Bacterial small subunit ribosomal RNA
Source: RNAcentral